CUGGGAGUCUCAGGACUCAUUAAAAGGCUCCCCUUAGGGGCCCACCUGUCCUCCCUAGGGCCUCGCGGGACGCGGCUGCGGUCAGAGGAGCAGGAGGAGGUCCCCCGACAUGCCUGAGGCAAAACCAGCGGCCAAAAAGGCCCCCAAAGGCAAAGAUGCCCCCAAAGGAGCCCCCAAGGAGGCUCCCCCUAAGGAGGCUCCUGCAGAGGCCCUCAAAGAAGCCCCACCCGAGGACCAGUCCCCGACUGCAGAGGAGCCCACUGGCGUUUUCCUGAAGAAGCCGGACUCCGUCUCAGUGGAGACUGGGAAGGACGCAGUGGUCGUGGCCAAGGUGAACGGGAAGGAACUCCCGGACAAACCGACCAUCAAGUGGUUCAAGGGGAAGUGGCUGGAGCUGGGCAGCAAGAGUGGCGCCCGCUUCUCCUUGAAGGAGUCCCACGACUCCGC
Molecule: long non-coding RNA, 447 nt
Filed under: Pan troglodytes (chimpanzee)
Lineage: Eukaryota; Metazoa; Chordata; Mammalia; Primates; Hominidae
Description: long non-coding RNA NONPTRT008185
Source: RNAcentral